Molecule: ribosomal RNA, 440 nt
Filed under: uncultured bacterium
Lineage: Bacteria
Description: partial 16S ribosomal RNA
Rfam family: Bacterial small subunit ribosomal RNA
Source: RNAcentral
CCUACGGGUGGCAGCAGUGGGGAAUAUUGCACAAUGGGGGAAACACUGAAGCAGCGACGCAGCGUGAGGGAAGAAGGGCCUCGGCGCGUAAAGCUGUGUCAGCAGGAACGAAAAUGACGGUACGUGAAGAAGAAGCCCCGGCUAACUACGUGCCAGCAGCCGCGGUUAUACGUAGGGGGCAAGCGUUAUCCGGAUUUACUGGGUGUAAAGGGAGCGUAGACGGCGGGGCAAGGCUGGAGUGAAAGGCCGGGGCCCAACCCCGGCACCGCUCUGGAAACUGUCCGGCUGGAGUGCGGGAGAGGUAUGCGGAAUUCCUAGUGUAGCGGUGAAAUGCGUAGAUAUUAGGAGGAACACCAGCGGCGAAGGCGGCUUACUGGACCGUGACUGACGUUGAGGCUCGAAAGCGUGGGGAGCAAACAGGAUUAGAUACCCUUGUAGUC